AGUGAACGCUGGCGGUAGGCCUAACACAUGCAAGUCGAACGGCAGCACAGUAAGAGCUUGCUCUUACGGGUGGCGAGUGGCGGACGGGUGAGGAAUACAUCGGAAUCUACUUUUUCGUGGGGGAUAACGUAGGGAAACUUACGCUAAUACCGCAUACGACCUACGGGUGAAAGCAGGGGAUCUUCGGACCUUGCGCGAUUGAAUGAGCCGAUGUCGGAUUAGCUAGUUGGCGGGGUAAAGGCCCACCAAGGCGACGAUCCGUAGCUGGUCUGAGAGGAUGAUCAGCCACACUGGAACUGAGACACGGUCCAGACUCCUACGGGAGGGAGCAGGGGGGAAUAUUGGACAAUGGGCGCAAGCCUGAUCCAGCCAUACCGCGUGGGGGAAGAAGGCCUUCGGGUUGUAAAGCCCUUUUGUUGGGAAAGAAAAGCAGCAGGUUAAUACCCCGCUGUUCUGACGGUACCCAAAGAAUAAGCACCGGCUAACUUCGUG
This 492-nucleotide ribosomal RNA is filed under the name uncultured bacterium. Its description in RNAcentral is "partial 16S ribosomal RNA". It matches the Rfam family "Bacterial small subunit ribosomal RNA", at positions 29 to 507 of the family's 1533-position model. The record is from RNAcentral.